This 63-nucleotide transfer RNA is filed under the name Chlamisus sp. N29. Its description in RNAcentral is "tRNA-His". Lineage: Eukaryota; Metazoa; Arthropoda; Insecta; Coleoptera; Chrysomelidae. The record is from RNAcentral.
AUUUAAAUAGUUUAAUUAAAAUAUUAAUUUGUGGAAUUAGGGAUACUAUGUAAGUUUUAAAUA